GCGAGGGCCAACAGCAUGAGACCCAUGGCUUCCUUCGGCGCUGCCGCCUGCUUCCUCCUCUGCGCGCUGCUCCUCGUCCAGCCCGCCCCCGCCGCUGCCGCCGGCGAGAAGCGGUCCUACGUCGUGUACCUCGGCGAGCAUGCGCACGCGUCGCGGCUGCACGACCUCCCAGCCGUCGACCUGGCGGCGGUCGAGGGGAAGGCCGCCGACUCGCACUACGACCUCCUCGCCACCGUCCUCGGAGACAAGGCGAAGGCGCGGGAGGCCAUCUUCUACUCGUACACCAAGCACAUCAACGGCUUCGCCGCCAACCUCGACGCCGACGAAGCCGCCCAGAUCGCCCGGCUGCCGGAGGUGGUGUCGGUGUUCCGGAACAGGGGGUACCAGCUGCACACGACGCGGUCGUGGCAGUUUCUUGGCAUCGCCGGGCCCGGAGGCGUCCCGCGCGGAGCGUCCUGGCGCAAGGCUAAGUUCGGCGAGGGCGUCGUCAUUGGCAACAUCGACACCGGUGUGUGGCCAGAAUCGGAGAGCUUUCGGGAUCAUGGGCUGGGACCAGUCCCCAAGCACUGGAAAGGAACAUGCGAGAAAGGCCAAGACGACAACUUCCACUGCAAUGCGAAGCUGAUCGGGGCGCGCUACUUCAACAAGGGGUACGGGUCGGAAGGGCUCGACACCAAGGCUCCCGAGUUCAACACCCCGCGGGACAACGAGGGGCACGGCACGCACACGCUGUCCACGGCCGGUGGCUCGGCGGUGCCCGGCGCCAGCGUGUUCGGCUUCGGCAACGGCACGGCCUCCGGCGGCUCUCCACGGGCGCACGUGGCCGCGUACCGCGUGUGCUACAAGCCCGUGAACGGCAGCUCGUGCUUCGAGGCGGACAUCCUGGCCGCCUUCGACGCCGCCAUCCACGACGGCGUGCACGUCCUGUCUGUCUCCCUCGGCAACGAUGGUGAGCCCUACGACUACUUCGACGACGCCAUCUCCAUCGGGUCCUUCCACGCCGUCCGCCGCGGCAUCAGCGUUGUCUGCUCGGCCGGAAACUCGGGCCCCAAGCCCAGCUCCAUCUCCAACCUUGCGCCGUGGGUCUUCACUGUCGGUGCCAGCACCAUGGACCGCGAGUUCCCGUCUUACGUCGUGUUCAACGGCACAAAGAUCAAGGGGCAGAGCAUGUCGGAGACAUCGCUCAAGGGCAAGGAGUCUUACCCCAUGAUCGAUUCCGCUGAAGCCGCAGCGCCCGGCAGAGCGGUAGAUGACGCCAAGAUUUGCCUGCAGGGGUCGCUGGACCCGGAGAAGGUGAAAGGGAAGAUCGUGGUGUGCCUGCGUGGGACGAGCGCGCGUGUGGCCAAGGGCCUGACGGUGCUCCAAGCCGGCGGCGCCGCCAUGGUGCUCGCCAAUGACGCCGCCUCGGGCAACGAGAUUAUCGCGGACGCGCACCUGCUCCCGGCCACGCACAUCAGGCACAGCGACGGCCUCACCCUAUACAACUACCUCAAAUCCGCCAAGUCACCAGAGGGGUACCUUGAGAAGCCGGAGACGAUCCUGGAGACGAAGCCAGCGCCGUACAUGGCCGCUUUCUCCUCGCAGGGACCCAACCCCGUCAACCCGGAGAUUCUCAAGCCCGACAUCACGGCGCCCGGGGUGAGCGUGAUCGCCGCGUUUACCCGCGCCAUGGCCCCCACGGAGCUCGCCUUCGACGAACGCCGCGUCGCCUUCACGUCCAUGUCUGGGACGUCCAUGUCGUGCCCGCACGUCUCUGGCCUCGUGGGGCUCCUCAAGGCCCUCCACCCAGACUGGAGCCCCUCCGCGAUCAAGUCGGCAAUGAUGACGACGGCGAUCGACGUGGACAACAAGGGCGAGUCCAUCCUCAACGCAUCCUUGGCGCCGGCUGGGCCCUUCGCCUACGGCGCCGGCCACGUGUGGCCGAGCCGCUCCAUGAACCCCGGCCUCGUCUACGACCUCGGCCCCGACCACUACCUCGACUUCCUCUGCGCGCUCAAGUACAACGCCACGGUCCUGUCCAUGUUCAACGGCGAGCCGUACAAGUGCCCCGAGAAGGCCCCCAAGAUCGAGGACCUCAACUACCCGUCCAUCACCGUCGUCAACCUCACGGCCUCCGGCGCAAUGGUGAAGCGCACGGUGAAGAACGUUGGCUCCCCGUGCAAGUACAAGGCGAUGGUGCGCCAGCCGGCUGGCGUGCAUGUGACGGUGAGCCCCGACGUGAUGGAGUUUGGGAAGAAGGGGGAGGAGAAGACGUUCGAGGUCAAGUUCGAGACCAAGAACGCCAAGCUGGCCAAGAACUACGCGUUUGGCGCGCUCAUAUGGAGCAACGGUGUCCAGUUCGUGAAGAGCCCCAUCGUUGUCAAGACGGCGGCAUGA
Molecule: ribosomal RNA, 2376 nt
Filed under: Triticum aestivum (bread wheat)
Lineage: Eukaryota; Viridiplantae; Streptophyta; Magnoliopsida; Poales; Poaceae
Description: partial small subunit ribosomal RNA
Source: RNAcentral